AGCCAAGACCUACAGUCAGCCAGUUCACCAUCUGCGUGAAGAGAGAACUCUGCUGUAUCUGCCGGUUCCUCCGUCCUGAGCCGUGAAAACAGCACAAAACAAAAGAUCGCAGCCCAUUGCCCGGCCGACACUCCCCGCCUCGCUGCGCUUCCAAAAUAAUCGACGCAAGGUCUCUAGCCAUGUUCCCGCCCCUCCCACUCCACCAUUCCCUCCCCUUGCCCCAAUCUAAACAUCCUGCAUCUCCCGUUCCUCCUCCU
This is a non-coding RNA of Paralichthys olivaceus (Japanese flounder), 257 nucleotides long. The record is from RefSeq and is a predicted model, not a curated record. Lineage: Eukaryota; Metazoa; Chordata; Actinopteri; Pleuronectiformes; Paralichthyidae.